Molecule: long non-coding RNA, 275 nt
Filed under: Erythranthe guttata (spotted monkey flower)
Lineage: Eukaryota; Viridiplantae; Streptophyta; Magnoliopsida; Lamiales; Phrymaceae
Description: long non-coding RNA (EGUT_LNC001314)
Source: RNAcentral
UGCUUUUUUUUUCCUUUCCUAUUUUUGUUAUAAAUCGGAAAAUGUACCUCUUUGUAAUGGUACUAUUUAGCUUCAUAAAAUGAAGUAAAUAAAAAAAACUACAAUUAUUAUGAGUAAUAAUAAAAUCUUAAAAGAAAAUUGCGUUUUGUUAUAAUAUUGUGGACUUGCACAUGGGUAUUUAGCAAUUGGACACCUAUAAGGGCAUGUGGCACUAUUUGAGUAAUACACUACCUAUAAUUUUGCCAAGUGUCUAGAUGAGUAGGCAUGUUUGUAAU